GGCGGCGUAUCCGAAUUGGCACAGGAGGGGGACUUAAAAUCCUCUGGCCGAAAGGCCGUGUGGGUUCGACUCCCACCGCCGCUACCA
RNAcentral lists this transfer RNA (87 nucleotides) under Actinomycetes bacterium. RNAcentral describes it as "tRNA-Leu". It matches the Rfam family "tRNA". From Rfam's summary of the family: Transfer RNA (tRNA) molecules are approximately 80 nucleotides in length. Their secondary structure includes four short double-helical elements and three loops (D, anti-codon, and T loops). RNAcentral also lists the same sequence under 2 other names. The record is from RNAcentral. Lineage: Bacteria; Bacillati; Actinomycetota; Actinomycetes.